Molecule: small nuclear RNA, 107 nt
Filed under: Macaca mulatta (Rhesus monkey)
Lineage: Eukaryota; Metazoa; Chordata; Mammalia; Primates; Cercopithecidae
Source: RNAcentral
GUGCUUGCUUCGGCAGCACAUAUACUAAAAUUGGAACGAUACAGAGAAGAUUGGCAUGGCCCCUGUGCAAGGAUGACACGCAAAUUCAUGAAGUGUUCCAUAUUUUU